Molecule: unclassified non-coding RNA, 324 nt
Filed under: uncultured fungus
Lineage: Eukaryota; Fungi
Description: partial contains 5.8S ribosomal RNA and internal transcribed spacer 2
Rfam family: 5.8S ribosomal RNA (bases 1-133)
Source: RNAcentral
UGGUUCUGGCAUCGAUGAAGAACGCAGCGAAAUGCGAUAAGUAAUGUGAAUUGCAGAAUUCAGUGAAUCAUCGAAUCUUUGAACGCACAUUGCGCCCCCUGGCAUUCCGGGGGGCAUGCCUGUUCGAGCGUCAUUUCGACCUUCAAGCCCCGCUUGGUGUUGGGCGCAGGCCUCCGCGUGAGGCCCGCCCGCAACCCGUCGGCGGCAGGCACCGUCCCCGAGCGUAGCAGAAAAAAAUCUCGCUCCGGAGCGCGGCCGCCCGCCCGCCGGUCAAGAACCACACAUCAGAAGUUUGACCUCGGAUCAGGUAGGGAUACCCGCUGA